AGUGUCUCGUUUGCAGUCGGCGCUUUAGGGGAACUGUCUUCCUCCGCAGGCGCGAGGCUGGGUACAGGGUCUAUUGUCUGUGGUUGACUCCGUACUUUGGUCUGAGGCCUUCGGGAGCUUUCCCGAGGCAGUUAGCAGAAGCCGCAGCGGCCGCCCCCGCCCGUCUCCUCUGUCCCUGGGCCCGGGAGGGACCAACUUGGCGUCACGCCCCUCAGCGGUCGCCACUCUCUUCUCUGUUGUUGGGUCCGCAUCGUAUUCCCGGAAUCAGACGGUGCCCCAUAGAUGGCCAGCUUUCCCCCGAGGGUCAACGAGAAAGAGAUCGUGAGAUUACGUACUAUAGGUGAACUUUUAGCUCCUGCAGCUCCUUUUGACAAGAAAUGUGGUCGUGAAAAUUGGACUGUUGCUUUUGCUCCAGAUGGUUCAUACUUUGCUUGGUCACAAGGACAUCGCACAGUAAAGCUUGUUCCGUGGUCCCAGUGCCUUCAGAACUUUCUCUUGCAUGGCACCAAGAAUGUUACCAAUUCAAGCAGUUUAAGAUUGCCAAGACAAAAUAGUGAUGGUGGUCAGAAAAAUAAGCCUCGUGAACAUAUUAUAGACUGUGGAGAUAUAGUCUGGAGUCUUGCUUUUGGGUCAUCAGUUCCAGAAAAACAGAGUCGCUGUGUAAAUAUAGAAUGGCAUCGCUUCAGAUUUGGACAAGAUCAGCUACUUCUUGCUACAGGGUUGAACAAUGGGCGUAUCAAAAUAUGGGAUGUAUAUACAGGAAAACUCCUCCUUAACUUGGUAGAUCAUACUGAAGUGGUCAGAGAUUUAACUUUUGCUCCAGAUGGAAGCUUGAUCCUGGUGUCAGCUUCAAGAGACAAAACUCUCAGAGUAUGGGACCUGAAAGAUGAUGGAAACAUGAUGAAAGUAUUGAGGGGGCAUCAGAAUUGGGUGUACAGCUGUGCAUUCUCUCCUGACUCUUCUAUGCUGUGUUCAGUCGGAGCCAGUAAAGCAGUGGUGGCAGCAAUAUUGGUGUGAUUGAGGUUAUGCUGGCACCACUCGCACACAGGCGCACAAUGGUGUUAGCUGGGCAGAAAGAGUGGCAUCUCUGGCUACCGGGCUGGGGGCGACCUUUACCAUAGGAUGAAGUAACCUUGCAUUCGGCUGCAAGGUGUACUGUACGUACACAGGUGCUGGUCGAUGUCCACUUUCUGCUUUUCUUUCUUUCUUUUUUUCUUUUUUAAAGUAAUUUCCCCCACAGUAAAAUACACUGACUCCUGAGUAAAUUGAUUUUCCAGUUUUAUGGAAUUGGGAGUCUGACAAGUGAAACCAAUUUAAUGUAAAGUAUUUGGCUUUCAAAUGGUUUCUCUGUGCUAUUUUUUGGAAUUCUUUCAGAUUCCAGAGAUAUCUUACGUCUUUGAUUCAAUUUAAAAUUUGUACUUAUUUUCUUUUAGAAAUAAUGUAUUGUGUCUGUGCAGAAAAAAAAAAAACCAAAAAGGAUUGCUUUACUCCAAGAGGAGAGAUUGUCUUAGGAUAAACCUCCAAGCUCACAUUUAAUAUAACAGACUGAAGUAAACAUUAGAAUCCUGUUUAGAGCUAUUCUGCACAGUUAACUACUGAUCUUUAGAAUCUAAAAUUGUAUAUGAACUUAUUCUUAAAUAAUUGAACCGUUUUAUAUUCAAAUGACUUAUGAUCGUGGUUAGUUUGGGAAAAAUAAGAUGGUUAAAUUUUGAUUUAUUGAAAUGUAAUUGUAUUAUUUUCAUAAAAUAGCAUUUUCAUUUUGUAAUGUGGUUUAACAUCCUUGUUGUUUGCCAAAGAAAUUUCAUUUGGCUGUGAAUAUUCUAUUUGCUUGCAGUAUCUGUUUCUCUUCCUAGGCUCAAGUUGGUGACCCAAGCCUAUUGUAAACAAGUGAUUAUCUCAAAGGGAGAUGCCAAUGGAGUAACAAUUUGUUAACCUUACGUUUUCUGUCUGUAUAUUUUUUUAAAAAUCUGGUAGUUUCUGGAAAAAAAAGAGAAGGGGGUUUGUAGUACUUAACCCUAUUUAUUUCCGUAUAUUUUAGUUAAUUAGUUUUUGGAAUAAAUGGAUUUCAGUAUAGCUUUGUGGUUAAAUUGCAUUGCCUUUAUUUUAUGUUUAGGCUUAUUUUUAAAUUAACAUUUAACAGAAACAUUUGAAAUAGAAUUUGCAUGUCUGCCUUAAUUAACUUAAAGACUGAUUUUAAUCUGACUAUGACACUGAGCAUAUUCUUUAAAUUACUCAUAAUUUAUAAUGCUUAAUAUAAUCUUAAUUAAAUUUAGCAGUUUUAGUAUAAGAUGUGCCAUUUUGUCCUCUGUAUGUCUGAAUGAAGCUAUAACAUUUGCCUUUUUAUUGCAGGUUUUCCUUUGGAAUAUGGAUAAAUACACCAUGAUACGGAAACUAGAAGGACAUCACCAUGAUGUGGUAGCUUGUGACUUUUCUCCUGAUGGAGCAUUACUGGCUACUGCAUCUUAUGAUACUCGAGUAUAUAUCUGGGAUCCACAUAAUGGAGACAUUCUGAUGGAAUUUGGGCACCUGUUUCCCCCACCUACUCCAAUAUUUGCUGGAGGAGCAAAUGACCGGUGGGUACGAUCUGUAUCUUUUAGCCAUGAUGGACUGCAUGUUGCAAGCCUUGCUGAUGAUAAAAUGGUGAGGUUCUGGAGAAUUGAUGAGGAUUAUCCAGUGCAAGUUGCACCUUUGAGCAAUGGUCUUUGCUGUGCCUUCUCUACUGAUGGCAGUGUUUUAGCUGCUGGGACACAUGACGGAAGUGUGUAUUUUUGGGCCACUCCACGGCAGGUCCCUAGCCUGCAACAUUUAUGUCGCAUGUCAAUCCGAAGAGUGAUGCCCACCCAAGAAGUUCAGGAGCUGCCGAUUCCUUCCAAGCUUUUGGAGUUUCUCUCGUAUCGUAUUUAGAAGAUUCUGCCUUCCCUAGUAGUAGGGACUGACAGAAUACACUUAACACAAACCUCAAGCUUUACUGACUUCAAUUAUCUGUUUUUAAAGACGUAGAAGAUUUAUUUAAUUUGAUAUGUUCUUGUACUGCAUUUUGAUCAGUUGAGCUUUUAAAAUAUUAUUUAUAGACAAUAGAAGUAUUUCUGAACAUAUCAAAUAUAAAUUUUUUUAAAGAUCUAACUGUGAAAACAUACAUACCUGUACAUAUUUAGAUAUAAGCUGCUAUAUGUUGAAUGGACCCUUUUGCUUUUCUGAUUUUUAGUUCUGACAUGUAUAUAUUGCUUCAGUAGAGCCACAAUAUGUAUCUUUGCUGUAAAGUGCAAGGAAAUUUUAAAUUCUGGGACACUGAGUUAGAUGGUAAAUACUGACUUACGAAAGUUGAAUUGGGUGAGGCGGGCAAAUCACCUGAGGUCAGCAGUUUGAGACUAGCCUGGCAAACAUGAUGAAACCCUGUCUCUACUAAAAAUACAAAAAAAAAAAAAAUUAGCCAGGCGUGGUGGUGCACACCUGUAGUCCUAGCUACUUGGGAGGCUGAGGCAGGAGAAUUGCUUGAACCCAGGAGGUGGAGGUUGCAGUAAGCCAAGAUCACACCACUGCACUCCAACCUGGACAACAGAGCGAGACUCCAUCUCAAAAAAAAAAAAAAAUUGUGUUGCCUCAUACGAAAUGUAUUUGGUUUUGUUGGAGAGUGUCAGACUGAUCUGGAAGUGAAACACAGUUUAUGUACAGGGAAAAGGAUUUUAUUAUCCUUAGGAAUGUCAUCCAAGACGUAGAGCUUGAAUGUGACGUUAUUUAAAAACAACAACAAAGAAGGCAGAGCCAGGAUAUAACUAGAAAAAGGAUGUCUUUUUUUUUUUUUUUACUCCCCCUCUAAACACUGCUGCUGCCUUAAUUUUAGAAAGCAGCUUACUAGUUUACCCUUGUGGUAUAAAGUAUUAUAAAUUGUUGUGAAUUUGAAGAAUCCGUCUACUGUAUUAUUGCUAAAUAUUUUGUUUAUACUAAGGGACAAUUAUUUUAAGACCAUGGAUUUAAAAAAAAAAAAAAAAACUCUGUUUCUGCAGGGGAUGAUAUUGGUGAGUUGCCAAAGAAGCAAUACAGCAUAUCUGCUUUUGCCUUCUGUUGUUUAUCUUACCUGCAGAUAUUAAGAAUGUAUGCAUUAUGUAAAAUGCUCAAUUAUAUAUUUUUGUUGAGUUUUUUAAUUAAAGACUUGUAAAAAAAAAAAACAGUAUAUUGCAAAUGUUUCUUAAAUAGGUUAGGUGGAGUACUUUCUCUCUGUCUCCAUUGUAAGGUUGAUGGUACACCACAGGCAAAUUAAGCAAAAAGGACAAUGAAGAAAGAAUGCAGGACUCAGGCGCUGCUCUAGAAUUCAUUCAGGGCUCCCCGAGUGCAGCAGCUCUUAUGGUGGUUUUGUUUUUAGGAGAACUGUUGUAAUAAUGCAUAUUUUAAAAGCAUAGGGAAGCUCUAGAACACAGGAAGGUGACUACUAAGCAAGAGAAAAGUAUCUUUUAGUGGGGAACUACCAGCCUAUAGUAAGUCUAUCUGGUUAAAGUAGUUAUUAUGAAAAUCUAGCAGUCUGGGUCCUUUGAGAAGGCAUUAAAAAAGCAAAACUCUUAUGAGCCAUGUGUGAUUUUGAAGACUCAUUUCCACUGAGAAAUUAUUUGGAAGUUCCUAUGGUUAGCUCUGUUAAGGAAUGUAAAAAUUUAUAGGGGGUGUAGGGUUAUCAAUUUGAAAGCCAGUAGAAAAUCUGCUCAAGUUACUUCUUGAGGAUCAUCUGUAUUUUACAAAAAGAAGCACAAGAAGCAUCUAAUCUUUAUACUUCUUGUGACUUUUUUUCCCCUGCAUUUUACUUUGUAAUAUAUCGGCUUUAUAAUUUUAAAAUACACUGGCCGGGCGCAGUGGCCCACACCUAUAAUCCCAGCACUUUGGGAGGCCAAGGCAGGUGGGUCACUUAAGGCCGGGAGUUCAUGACAAGCCUGACCAACAUAGUGAAACCCCUGUCUCUACUAAAAUUACAAAAAUUAGCUGGGCAUGGUGGUGGGUUCCUGUACUCCUAGCUACUUAGGAGGCUGAGGCAAGAGAAUUGCUUGAACUGGAGAAAUGGAGGUUGCAGUGAGCUGAGAUCACGCAACUGCACUCCAGCCUGGGUGACAGAGUAAGACUCUAAAUAAAUAAGAUACCAUUACUUUUCAUAUCAUUGCAUUAUUUUUGCUUUCCACACCAACAUAUCCAGUCAAGUAAAAACAGCUUUUUUUAUUUUUUAUUUUUUAUUUUUUUUGAGACGGAGUCUCACACUGUCACCUGGGCUGGAGUGCAGUGGUGCGAUCUUGGCUCACUGCAGCCUCCACCUCCUGGGUUCAAGCAAUUCUCCUGCCUCAGCCUCCCAAGCAGCUGGGAUUACAGGCGCUCCCCCACCACGCCCAGCUAAUUUUUGUUGUAUUUUUAGGACAGACGGCGUUUCACUGUUGGCCAGACUGGUCUCAAACUCCUGACCUCGUGAUCCGCCCGCCUCGGCCUCCCAGAGUGCUGGGAUUAUAGGUGUGAGCCACCGAACCUGGCCCAAAACAGCAUUUUUGGAAGCUACAUUCUGUGAGAUGUUCACCUGUUUGCCACCUCUUCUCGUGAAAACCAUAGUGAGUGCCAGUGUGAAAGGAAGAUUGCAGCGUAUAUGUCAAGUAGAAACAUGUUUGAAUUUUCCAUUUGUCUGUGGGGAAGAAGGUAAUAACAGUAAUAACAGACUGAAGGACCAAAGGAAAAUAGGGAAGACGUUGAUUAUGGACUUGGAUCAGAUUCUAGCUACAUGAUUUGAAAAUGACACUGCCUCUCCUAUUUUGCCACAAGCCUGUCAUUUGGAGAACUGGCAGAUCAUUUAUGUUCAGAUUUAAUUUUCUGUUUUAGAAUCCCAUGGAGUACAUGUGAACAUAGGAAAAUCACACUCAGCAGCCAAGCUAUCCUUUUGCGAUAAUGAAAUCACUUUAAAACCUAUAACUUGAUCUUAGGUUGGCAAAUCUUAAACUUAACGAUCCUUGAAAUUUCCUGCCUGCUGUGACUGUGAUGCAGUUGGAUUCAACUGGUUUACACUGCUCUUGGGUCGGCAAGACCAAAAAAGGUUGGACUGCACUGUAGCAUGCUUAUGGGUUGAGGCAGUGGCAGAGGCAGAGGACUUGGCCGUCAGCCAGCCAGCACAGGCGUAAGAAAAUAGCAUGAGAAGUUUCACGAGCCUGAAACCAUUGAGACAGUGAUUACAACCUCCAUAUUAAUCAGAUGAGGGUUUGUAGGUGACAUAGCAUUUUACCCAAGUAAUUCUGAACAGACUGUGGCUUAUGAUAAUACAUUUUAACUAGCAAGUGUGUGGACUAUAAAACAAAUAUCUAGAGUUAUAUAUGGAUGUACUAUCAUUUGGUGAUAAAAGCAUAGAAAAAGCAUAAGUUGGAGUAUACUGGGUUUUUUUGUUGUUGUUAAAUUCUUUUCCAUCAGAAGUAAGAGCUGUUGGCAGCAACUAAUAAAAUGCAACCUAGUGA
Homo sapiens (human) is the source of this 6461-nucleotide RNA transcript. It is a transcript of the gene named WD repeat and SOCS box containing 1, with no coding region annotated. NCBI's taxonomy places the organism in Eukaryota, Metazoa, Chordata, Mammalia, Primates, Hominidae. The record is from RefSeq and is marked reviewed. The transcript has 9 exons.